Unclassified non-coding RNA from Papio anubis (olive baboon), 148 nucleotides. It matches the Rfam family "Metazoan signal recognition particle RNA". From Rfam's summary of the family: The signal recognition particle (SRP) is a universally conserved ribonucleoprotein. It is involved in the co-translational targeting of proteins to membranes. Lineage: Eukaryota; Metazoa; Chordata; Mammalia; Primates; Cercopithecidae. The record is from Ensembl.
GCCAGGCGUGGUGGCGCAUGCCUGUAAUUCUAGCUACUCGGGAGGCUGAGGCACGAGAAUCGCUUGAACCUGGGAGGUGGAGGUUGCAGUGAGCCGAGAUCAUGCCACUGCACUCUGCCCUGGGUGACAAAGUGAGAUUCUGUCUUAA